GUAGGUGGCAAGCGUUAUCCGGAAUUAUUGGGCGUAAAGCGCACGCAGGCGGUUUCUUAAGUCUGAUGUGAAAGCCCACGGCUCAACCGUGGAGGGUCAUUGGAAACUGGGGAACUUGAGUGCAGAAGAGGAAAGCGGAAUUCCACGUGUAGCGGUGAAAUGCGUAGAGAUGUGGAGGAACACCAGUGGCGGAGGCGGCUUUUUGGUCUGUAACUGACGCUGAGGCGCGAAAGCGUGGGGAGCAAACAGGAUUAGAUACCCUGGUAGUCCACGCCGUAAACGAUGAGUGCUAAGUGUUAGGGGGUUUCCGCCCCUUAGUGCUGCAGCUAACGCAUUAAGCACUCCGCCUGGGGAGUACGACCGCAAGGUUG
This 371-nucleotide ribosomal RNA is filed under the name uncultured bacterium. RNAcentral describes it as "bacterial SSU rRNA". It matches the Rfam family "Bacterial small subunit ribosomal RNA", at positions 527 to 896 of the family's 1533-position model. The record is from RNAcentral.